Molecule: ribosomal RNA, 1711 nt
Filed under: Zosterodasys sp. 2 QZ-2013
Lineage: Eukaryota; Ciliophora; Nassophorea; Synhymeniida; Orthodonellidae
Description: SSU rRNA
Rfam family: Eukaryotic small subunit ribosomal RNA
Source: RNAcentral
AACCUGGUUGAUCCUGCCAGUAGUCAUAUGCUUGUCUCAAAGACUAAGCCAUGCAAGUGUAAGUAUAAAUCAUAUACCGUGAAACUGCGAAUAGUUCCGUAAAACAGUUAUAGUUUAUUUGAUGGUGGACUUUACUUGGACAACUGUAGAAACCUAGAGCUAAUACAUGCGCAAAGGCCUCGCAAGGGGCUGUAUUUAUUAGAUAUGAACCAACAGCGAAAGCUAUUGAGGUGAAUCAUAAUGACUGAUCGGAUCGCAGCAAUGCGACGCGUCACUCAAGUUUCUGCCCUAUCAGCUUUGGAUGGUAGUGUAUUGGACUACCAUGGCGGUGACGGGUACGGGGAAUUAGGGUUCGAUUCCGGAGAGGGAGCCUGAGAAACGGCUACCAUUACUCACGUGAGCAGCAGGCGCGCAAAUUACUCAAUCCUGACUCAGGGAAGUAGUGACAAGAAAUAACAGACCGGGUCGGAAGCGAUUCUGGGAGUGUAAUGAGUGCAAUUUAAAAGAAUGCAUGAGAAGCAAUUGGAGGGCAAGACUGGUGACAGCAGCCGCGGUAAUUCCAGCUCCAAUAGCGUAUAUUAAAGUUGCUGCAGUUAAAAAGCUCGUAGUCGAUCCUCUGGCCGGCUGCCUGCCUGAAAAAGACAGGCUGCCAGGCCUUUGCCCUGAAGCACGGCUCGCAGGGGCCGUUUGGAGGGGCCUUACUCUGAAGAAAUCAGGAUGCUCCAAAUGGGCUUAUGCCCCUAAGAUGAAGCUGAGAAUAAUUGAAACGGCCAGGUCCGUUUGUUGGUUCACGGGACUUGGAAUGGUUAAAAGGGACAGUUGGGGGCGGAGGGACUUGGUAGAAAGAGGUGAAAUUCGUUGACCUACCAAAGACCAACUAAUGCGAAGGCAUCUGCCAUGGAUGUUUUCAUUGAUCAAGAACGAAAGUUGCGGGAUCAAAGACGAUCAGAUACCGUCGUAGUCGCAACCCUAAACUAUGCCGACUAGGGAUUGGCCUGGCGAUUAACCAGGCCAGCACCUAACGAGAAAUCAAAGUCUUUGGGUUCUGGGGGGAGUAUGGUCGCAAGGCUGAAACCUAAAGGAAUUGACGAAAGGGCACCACCAGGAGUGGAGCUUGCGGCUUAAUUUGAGAAGGCUCGGGGAAACUUACCAGGGCAAGAUGAAGAUAGGAUUGACAGACUGAGAGCUCUUUCAUGAUUCUUCAAGUGGUGGUGCAUGGCCGUUCUUGGUUCGUGGGGCGACCCGUCUGGUUUAUUCCGGCAACGAACGAGACCUCGGCUCUUAAAUAGCCGCUGCUACCUCCAUAGCAGGCGGCUUCUUAGGAGGACUGCGUGGGGAAACCACGAGGAAGCACGAGGCUAAAGCAGGUCCGUGAUGCCCUUAGAUGUCCUGGGCCGCACGCGAGCUACACUGACGCACGCAACAAGCAUCCCUGCUCUGAAAGGAGUGGGUAAUCUCCAGGGUGCGUCGUGCUGGGGAUAGAUCUUUGCAAUUCUGGAUCUUGAACCAGGAAUUCCUAGUAAGCGCAAGUCACCAGCUUGCGCUGAUUACGUCCCUGCCCUUUGUACACACCGCCCGUCGACCUUAUUAAAGCGGCACUUUUCAAAGUAUUCGGACUCAGCCCUAAAGAAUGGGGAAGGAUAAUUAGUCAAGUGUUGCCGAAAAGGGCUGUCGUAACAAGGUUUCCGUAGGUGAACCUGCAGAAGGAUCA